GAGUUUGAUCCUGGCUCAGGAUGAACGCUAGCGGCAGGCUUAACACAUGCAAGUCGAGGGGUAACAGGGAGCUUGCUCCGCUGACGACCGGCGCACGGGUGCGUAACGCGUAUAGAAUCUACCUUACACUGAGGGAUAGCCUUUGGAAACGAAGAUUAAUACCUCAUGGUAUCAUUGACUGGCAUCGGUUGAUGAUUAAAGGUUACGGUGUAAGAUGACUAUGCGUCCUAUUAGCUAGAUGGUAAGGUAACGGCUUACCAUGGCAACGAUAGGUAGGGGCCCUGAGAGGGGGAUCCCCCACACUGGUACUGAGACACGGACCAGACUCCUACGGGAGGCAGCAGUGAGGAAUAUUGGACAAUGGAGGCAACUCUGAUCCAGCCAUGCCGCGUGAAGGAUGACUGCCCUAUGGGUUGUAAACUUCUUUUAUACAGGAAGAAACACUGGUACGUGUACCAGCUUGACGGUACUGUAUGAAUAAGCACCGGCUAACUCCGUGCCAGCAGCCGCGGUAAUAAGGGCGA
Molecule: ribosomal RNA, 524 nt
Filed under: uncultured bacterium
Lineage: Bacteria
Description: bacterial SSU rRNA
Rfam family: Bacterial small subunit ribosomal RNA
Source: RNAcentral